AUAUUUAGAGAGUUUGAUCCUGGCUCAGGAUGAACGCUGGCGGCGUGCUUAACACAUGCAA
This 61-nucleotide ribosomal RNA is filed under the name Lachnospiraceae bacterium. Its description in RNAcentral is "partial 16S ribosomal RNA". It matches the Rfam family "Bacterial small subunit ribosomal RNA", at positions 1 to 60 of the family's 1533-position model. Lineage: Bacteria; Bacillati; Bacillota; Clostridia; Lachnospirales; Lachnospiraceae. The record is from RNAcentral.